RNAcentral lists this unclassified non-coding RNA (344 nucleotides) under soil metagenome. Its description in RNAcentral is "partial contains 5.8S ribosomal RNA, internal transcribed spacer 2, and large subunit ribosomal RNA". The stretch from base 1 to 120 matches the Rfam family "5.8S ribosomal RNA", at positions 35 to 154 of the family's 154-position model. The record is from RNAcentral.
GAUGAAGAACGUAGUGAAAUGCGAUAAGUAAUGUGAAUUGCAGAAUUCAGUGAAUCAUCGAAUCUUUGAACGCACAUUGCGCCCGCCAGUAUUCUGGCGGGCAUGCCUGUUCGAGCAUCAUUUCAACCCUCAAGCCCCCGGGCUUGGUGUUGGGGAUCGGCGUGCCCUCGCGGCGCGCCGUCCCCUAAAUCUAGUGGCGGUCUCGCUGUAGCUUCCUCUGCGUAGUAGCAACACUCGCACUGGAUCGCAGCGCGGCCACGCCGUUAAACCCCCCACUUCUGAAAGUUUGACCUCGGAUCAGGUAGGAAUACCCGCUGAACUUAAGCAUAUCAAUAAGCGGAGGA